UUAUAAAUGGUUUAUGUUUAACCAUAAACACUAAUGUUUCGUUUGGUUCAAUGUAAUGGCUUUUGCCAUUACAGGACAAUUCCAAUUUCUACAGUAAAGCAGAGGUUUGGUUCAUUGGAAAGCUUAAAAAGCAAAAUGGUGAUUACAGCUUCAUUUCGAAAAUUGUCGAAUAGCCAUUCAGGGGAGGAGGUGCCAAAUUGGUUAUUCCAGCCUCUCCACAGAAUGACCCUUCUUUUCCCUUCCGAAAACACCCUCAGUCUGAAAUUGCUCAAUGGUUUCACUUUUUUUUUUCUUUCCCAUAAACAAUAUCACGCUCAAAUCAACAUGAAAGGAAGCAAAUCAACUUAAAGGCCAAGGACCCACACUUUGUUUACCACUCGUAAGCGAUUCCAACCCAUCACUGGAAUCGCCUGGUGCUUAGCAAGGCCCUGCUUGUUUUGAUGGUUCAAAACGAAGUAGCUUUUUCAUUAGGUCAUGGGCUUUCAAUUUGCAGAACUCCCUAUGUUAAAUGUUCACAAAAGCUAGGUGAACAAUCGCUAAGCACUUCCAGAGUAGUUGAAAAGAAACCAGUGAAGAAGGUUGGAAAGAACGAGCAUCACUUGUAGAAGAAAAGAGAUUCAGCUAGCUCUAGACAAAAGGCACUCAAUAUUGUUAGAAUUAUGCAAUAUGCAAAGAUAAAGUCAGAUUGUAUCGCCGAAAAUGAUAGAAACUUUGUUCCUAGAGAAAAUAAGAAGAAGCAAGAAGAAAAAGAUUUCAUGAAGUCGCUGAUACUCAAGUGACAAAGUGGAUAUUGAGCAAAGGACAAUGAGCUAUGAUGGGAACAUAUGACACCCUUCUACUUGCAUUUGAUAUAGAUAACAGAGUGGAUGAGGCUGGAUCAUUGUGGAACAUGGUUUUACAUACACACAAUCGUUCUAUCUCAAAGCGGUUUUUUUCUAGGAACUAUAGGUCCAUACAACUAUAGGACUGCUUCAAUUAUCUCCUUUUUAUAUUUAUGCUCAAGCAGCUCUAGAAUGCUCUCUUUUAACAGUUGAAUGAUUCAAUGAGCUCGUGGGAAGCCCAUAUUACAUGGCUCUAGAGGUUCUUAAACAUAAUUAUGACCCAGAGGUUGGUGUAUAGAGUGCUGGAGUUAUCAUCUAUAUUUUACUUUGUGGUGUGCCGCAAUUCUAGAUAGAGACUGAGCAAAGGGUGGCACAAGCAAUUAUUCGCUCUGCUAUUGACUUUAAGAGGGACCCAUGGCCUAAGGUUUCGGACAAUACAAAGGCCCUUGUAAAGAAAAUGCUUAAUCUUGAUCGAAAGCAGCUUCUUACAGCACAAGAAGUGCUUGAACAUUCAUGGCUACAAAAUGCCAAGAAAGCACCCAAUGUUCCAUUGGGUGAGACUAUGAAAGCUAGGCUCAAACAAUUUUCUGUAACGAACAAGGUGAGAAGAGAGCUCUAAGGGUAAUAAUCCAAAUAACUAUUGUAGUUUAUUUGCUUUUAAGUUGCAUGGACCUAUAGUUUCUACAUUUAAGACAAGCAGAAGUUUUUUCUUAAAAGAUACAUAAGCAAAUGGAUAUAUACAUCCACUUUAAUGGCGAACGGGUUAGAGUGAAAAGAUAUACAUCAGAUGAAGAUUGAUGUUCAAUUUAGUGAGUGCAUUCUCUUGGCAUCAAUGGCAUAAUAUGAGUAUGUAUUUGUUGAACUGGACCUUGCCAAUCAAGUAUUGCAUCAACAAGGCAUCUUAUUCACUUUCCUUGAGAUAGGCUGCAUACACUUGAAUGCUAUAUGAAUAGUUUAUCAUUUCUAGGGGGUUGUUCCCUGUAUAUAGUUGUAGCUUGGAUGUUGCAAACCUCUUCUUUAAUUUCUGGGGAUAUAUAUGCUGUGAAAGUGCCAAAGGGUUUUUACUGUUAAUGUAGGAUGUUUUAAGAUUUUGUCCUUAUAAAACUCUUAUGUCUCCAAAUCAUCAUUUAUUCAAUUGAAAUAUUAAAUAGUUUUUUGAAGAA
RNA transcript from Gossypium arboreum, 1984 nucleotides. It is a transcript of the gene named calcium-dependent protein kinase 8-like, with no coding region annotated. The record is from RefSeq and is a predicted model, not a curated record. The transcript is spliced from 7 exons. Lineage: Eukaryota; Viridiplantae; Streptophyta; Magnoliopsida; Malvales; Malvaceae.